Molecule: long non-coding RNA, 595 nt
Organism: Megalobrama amblycephala (Wuchang bream)
Lineage: Eukaryota; Metazoa; Chordata; Actinopteri; Cypriniformes; Xenocyprididae
Exons: 4
Source: RefSeq, a predicted model, not a curated record
GUCAGAUCCAGCUGAAAGUUCUGGAUAUCUGUCCCGUUGUCAUCCUGAAUCCCGUAGAUGAGCGUGCGGCGAGUGGUGCUCUCCGUCAGACUGGUGGCCACUGUCGCCUUGGGCGUCUUCAUUAUGGGCACACUGUUGAAAAAGAAUGUGAUACAGGUUUGGAAUGAUGUGAGGGAGAAACAUAAGCUCUGUCUCACCGUAUGAGAUCCAGGAGAGCAUCAGCGGAGCUCAUGAUAGGUUUCCCGCUGUCCUCUGAGUCUUCCUUCUGUGCCAUUCCACCUGGAUGGAUGAUCAACACCAUGACAAUUCCCACCACCACAGCCAGGAAGGUGGUCCACAGGUAGUAAGAGACCGUGAUGAGGCCCAGCCGACUGGAACACUUUGCAUCCAGAGCCGCCAGACCAGACAUCAAACUGAAAGAGAGCAGAUAGAGGCACAGUGUAAUGGAGAGUUCACAAAGAAACUUUUGUUGAAAGAUGAAGCAGCCGACUGUAUUAGAUCUGUAUUGGAUUGGACAGCAGCUGCAUCACAAACUAUUGGCAUGCAUUAUAUGACUGACAGACAGCAACGGUUGCAGUUAAAAAUCAUCAUUUGU